Molecule: long non-coding RNA, 613 nt
Organism: Juglans microcarpa x Juglans regia
Lineage: Eukaryota; Viridiplantae; Streptophyta; Magnoliopsida; Fagales; Juglandaceae
Exons: 2
Source: RefSeq, a predicted model, not a curated record
CUAUUCCGCCACCAGGUGAGGAAAAUUUCGGUAUUUUCUGUCAUGAGUUUGAGUUUUGGACUGCUAAGUGCUGAAACCCUAGCCUUCCUCUACCGAGUGCCGAAACCCUAAUACUCUUAGAUCUACUCCUAGAUCUAAGAUGUAGCUUUGAGUUGUUUUUGCUUUUUUGUUCUAGAUCUACUCUUAUAUCUGAUCCCAUAAUUUGCAUUAUAUUUUCUAUUUAUUUAUUGAUAUUAGAAUCCUUGCUCUGAUAUCUGGGUUUUUUUUUUUUUUUUUGGGGGGGUUGUUUUUUGGGUUGUUAAUCCCCCAGUGACCACGAUCUGUCUUGCCGUCGGGCUUUCAGCAAAGAUUUUCCCGAUUUGCAAGGUGCUCUGUCUGGGUUGCUGCGUAAAGCAUUGUCUUCAUCCUCGUACUGUCGUCUUCAUCCUUAGGAUCUCUCAGUCCUAUUACUUGAAGUUGCUAUUUGGUGUGGAGAUUAAAUCAUUGAUGGAUAUGUUACUGAUUUUGCAAUUCAUAUAUUGUAAUUUUGUAUAUUGUAAUGUAAUGUAUAAAUAACAAAUAAUGAAAUAUGUAAUAGAUUGCAUUGUGAUGCAUGCAUGGAUGAAUUUAUGCA